This 89-nucleotide transfer RNA is filed under the name Dreissena polymorpha. It matches the Rfam family "tRNA". From Rfam's summary of the family: Transfer RNA (tRNA) molecules are approximately 80 nucleotides in length. The record is from Rfam by way of RNAcentral. Lineage: Eukaryota; Metazoa; Mollusca; Bivalvia; Myida; Dreissenidae.
GCCGCAAUAGCUCAGUUGGAAGAGCGUUAGACUGGAGUUGAUUACGCAACAAUCAUCUAAAGCUCCCGGUUCAAUCCCGGGUUCCGGCA